GAUAAUGAAUUAUGUAUGCAUGACUCGCAUAAUUUUAUGUAAGUAAACGCUUGAGUUCAAAUAGAUAAGGAAUCAAAAACUGGUACAUUAGGUAUACGACUUUUGUAGUAUGUAUCAUCAUUCACAAUAGUGAAAUUUCAUACCCAAGAAAAGGGUAAAUGAUAUCCUCUCAUUGACAUUACAUGAUAGACAAAAAGUAAAUAUGGCCACGGGUCUUUUGUAUUUGUGAUGAAUUACUUGAUUACUAC
This 248-nucleotide long non-coding RNA is filed under the name Gossypium barbadense (sea-island cotton). RNAcentral's name for it is "long non-coding RNA (GBAR_LNC014271)". Lineage: Eukaryota; Viridiplantae; Streptophyta; Magnoliopsida; Malvales; Malvaceae. The record is from RNAcentral.